AAGGUUUGGAUGGUUUAGUUGCUAAAACUAGCUUUGAUGAUAAAUGGCCACCCAAUCGAAAAUGGAAGUGUUCAGCCUCAACCUCCACCAUCAACACAAUGGUUUGGUUCAGAACCAGCAAAGAAACUCCGAUCUGCCUACCAU
Molecule: long non-coding RNA, 144 nt
Organism: Juglans microcarpa x Juglans regia
Lineage: Eukaryota; Viridiplantae; Streptophyta; Magnoliopsida; Fagales; Juglandaceae
Exons: 3
Source: RefSeq, a predicted model, not a curated record